UAAUUUUCAGGUUAUUAGUCUUGUGGGAGCACAAAAGGUAACUUUGCAUCCUGAUGAUAUAUUACUACUUGCAAAUUUCAUAUUGUCCUCCGAAUCUUUUAGGACUUCGGAGUCUUUUUCACCCAUAUGCUUGCCAAGAUACAAUCCUAUGGCCUUCCUAUACGCUUAUGUUCAUUUUUUUGAUGAAAAUACUUACUUGACUCUUCUUACUCCGAGAUCAGAUGCCUUCUUUGAUUUGAAAGAUUCAAGGGCCCGCAUUCAGGAUGUUCUAUUGAAAUCAAAUGUCCUUCUCGAAGUCCAAAGGUCUUUGCACGAGAAUGU
Long non-coding RNA from Triticum aestivum (bread wheat), 321 nucleotides. RefSeq lists it as uncharacterized. NCBI's taxonomy places the organism in Eukaryota, Viridiplantae, Streptophyta, Magnoliopsida, Poales, Poaceae. The transcript is spliced from 4 exons. The record is from RefSeq and is a predicted model, not a curated record.